AUACUCUUUUCGACAAGACUGGCCAUGCUGACCCAAUACCCACCUCAUAGACCCCUCGAGAGCUACCAGUACCAGAUUAACAAUCGUCCCCAUGGGAGGUGUCGGAAUCAGAAGUUCCUGCAAUUUAUAUUUCUUUUCUUCUUUUUUUUUUUCAAAAUGCCCCUUGGCAAUUAUUACCUUACAUUUUCCUUCUUUCUUUUCGGUUCAGGCUUUUUUUUUUUUUUUUUUUUUUUUUUUUUUNUUUUUUUUUUUUUUAGCAGGAUCGACCUCGAUUCCUCUUAUCUGCUUACAACAAGUCUCGGUAGCUUGAUGACAGCAUUCCAUAAGUGUACUGAUUCGGG
Molecule: long non-coding RNA, 341 nt
Filed under: Lathyrus oleraceus (garden pea)
Lineage: Eukaryota; Viridiplantae; Streptophyta; Magnoliopsida; Fabales; Fabaceae
Description: Pisum sativum (pea) long non-coding RNA (PSAT_LNC002923)
Source: RNAcentral